Molecule: unclassified non-coding RNA, 220 nt
Filed under: Hevea brasiliensis (rubber tree)
Lineage: Eukaryota; Viridiplantae; Streptophyta; Magnoliopsida; Malpighiales; Euphorbiaceae
Source: RNAcentral
GAAACCCAUGACCUGUGGAUUGGUGGAGUGGUUCCAGAGACCAGGGGAAAAGGAGUCAACGGUGCCGAUCGAUUGGUUGCGGAAUUGCCAUUCAUCUGAAGCUUCAUAGCUCUGAUGAUCCUCACUUCUCUUCUCCAUCACAAACUUAUCCUUCUCCCUCAAACUCAUUAUGAUGUCAGCAGUUUUGAGCACACCUCGGCGCGAAACUACUCGGAAAUUU